GACGAACGCUGGCGGCGUGCCUAAUACAUGCAAGUCGAACGCUGAAGGAGGAGCUUGCUCUUCUGGAUGAGUUGCGAACGGGUGAGUAACGCGUAGGUAACCUGCCUGGUAGCGGGGGAUAACUAUUGGAAACGAUAGCUAAUACCGCAUAAAAUUGAUUAUUGCAUGAUAGUCAAUUAAAAGGUGCAAUUGCAUCACUACCAGAUGGACCUGCGUUGUAUUAGCUAGUUGGUGAGGUAACGGCUCACCAAGGCAACGAUACAUAGCCGACCUGAGAGGGUGAUCGGCCACACUGGGACUGAGACACGGCCCAGACGCCUACGGGAGGCAGCAGUAGGGAAUCUUCGGCAAUGGACGGAAGUCUGACCGAGCAACGCCGCGUGAGUGAAGAAGGGUUUCGGAUCGUAAAGCUCGGUUGUAAGAGAAGAACGAGUGUGAGAGUGGAAAGUUCACACUGUGACGGUAUCUGACCAGAAAGGGACGGCUAACUACGUG
This 495-nucleotide ribosomal RNA is filed under the name uncultured bacterium. RNAcentral describes it as "partial 16S ribosomal RNA". It matches the Rfam family "Bacterial small subunit ribosomal RNA", at positions 28 to 507 of the family's 1533-position model. The record is from RNAcentral.